GAUGAACGCUGGCGGCGUGCCUAAUACAUGCAAGUCGAGCGAACAGACGAGGAGCUUGCUCCUUUGACGUUAGCGGCGGACGGGUGAGUAACACGUGGAUAACCUACCUAUAAGACUGGGAUAACUUCGGGAAACCGGAGCUAAUACCGGAUAACAUGUUGAACCGCAUGGUUCAACAGUGAAAGACGGUCUUGCUGUCACUUAUAGAUGGAUCCGCGCCGCAUUAGCUAGUUGGUAAGGUAACGGCCUACCAAGGCAACGAUGCGUAGCCGACCUGAGAGGGUGAUCGGCCACACUGGAACUGAGACACGGUCCAGACUCCUACGGGAGGCAGCAGUAGGGAAUCUUCCGCAAUGGGCGAAAGCCUGACGGAGCAACGCCGCGUGAGUGAAGAAGGUCUUCGGAUCGUAAAACUCUGUUAUUAGGGAAGAACAAAUGUGUAAGUAACUAUGCACGUCUUGACGGUACCUAAUCAGAAAGCCACGGCUAACUACGUG
RNAcentral lists this ribosomal RNA (497 nucleotides) under uncultured bacterium. RNAcentral describes it as "partial 16S ribosomal RNA". It matches the Rfam family "Bacterial small subunit ribosomal RNA", at positions 28 to 507 of the family's 1533-position model. The record is from RNAcentral.